This 325-nucleotide unclassified non-coding RNA is filed under the name Hevea brasiliensis (rubber tree). Lineage: Eukaryota; Viridiplantae; Streptophyta; Magnoliopsida; Malpighiales; Euphorbiaceae. The record is from RNAcentral.
UGGUAGGAUCUGGUGCCCUUGGGUGUGAGUUCUUGAAGAAUUUGGCUUUGAUGGGGGUCUCUUGUCGUGAGAAAGGGAGGCUGACAAUUACAGAUGAUGAUGUCAUUGAAAAGAGUAACCUUAGUAGGCAGUUUCUCUUCCGCGACUGGAACAUUGGACAGGCUAAAUCAAUCGUAGCUGCUUCUGCCGCUGCUUUGAUAAAUCCUCAUCUCAACAUUGAAGCGCUGCAGAACCGUGCUAGUCCUGAGACUGAGAGUGUUUUUAAUGAUACAUUCUGGGAGAAUCUAAGCGUUGUCAUAAAUGCUUUGGAUAAUGUGAAUGCUAG